GGUUGUGUGGUGUAGUGGUUAUCACAUCUGUCUUACAAUGACAACCCCUCUCAGAGGAGUAGCAUAAUAGGAUCCACAGAAGGCCGCAAGUUCAAUCCUUGCCACAAUCA
Non-coding RNA from Geopyxis carbonaria, 110 nucleotides. Lineage: Eukaryota; Fungi; Ascomycota; Pezizomycetes; Pezizales; Tarzettaceae. The record is from the annotation of a GenBank genome assembly.